CCCUUAGAUGUUCUGGGCCGCACGCGCGCUACACUGAUGCAUUCAACGAGUUUCUUCCUGGUCCGAGAGGAAUGGGUAACCUUUUGAAAGUGCAUCGUGAUAGGGAUAGACUAUUGCAAUUAUUGGUCUUCAACGAGGAAUUCCUAGUAGACGUAGUUCAUCAGACUGCAUCGAUUACGUCCCUGCCCUUUGUACACACCGCCCGUCGCUCCUACCGAUUGAAUGCCCAGGUGAGCCAUUCGGACUUUCAUCAUGCUGGUUUCCAGUUUUGAUGAAGGAAAGUCUUGCGAACCUUAUCAUUUAGAGGAAGGAGAAGUCGUAACA
Molecule: ribosomal RNA, 324 nt
Filed under: uncultured eukaryote
Lineage: Eukaryota
Description: partial 18S ribosomal RNA
Rfam family: Eukaryotic small subunit ribosomal RNA
Source: RNAcentral